AGCGGGAUAGCGCAGUUGGUAGAGCGCCAGGCUCAUUACCUGGAGGUCGUGGGUUCGAGUCCCACUCCCGCCC
This 73-nucleotide transfer RNA is filed under the name Caldimonas thermodepolymerans. RNAcentral's name for it is "Schlegelella thermodepolymerans tRNA". It matches the Rfam family "tRNA". From Rfam's summary of the family: Transfer RNA (tRNA) molecules are approximately 80 nucleotides in length. Their secondary structure includes four short double-helical elements and three loops (D, anti-codon, and T loops). Further hydrogen bonds mediate the characteristic L-shaped molecular structure. tRNAs have two regions of fundamental functional importance: the anti-codon, which is responsible for specific mRNA codon recognition, and the 3' end, to which the tRNAs corresponding amino acid is attached (by aminoacyl-tRNA synthetases). tRNAs cope with the degeneracy of the genetic code in two manners: having more than one tRNA (with a specific anti-codon) for a particular amino acid; and 'wobble' base-pairing, i.e. permitting non-standard base-pairing at the 3rd anti-codon position. The record is from Rfam by way of RNAcentral. Lineage: Bacteria; Pseudomonadati; Pseudomonadota; Betaproteobacteria; Burkholderiales; Sphaerotilaceae.